CAAGAGUAGCUGCGCCCUUCUUUGCUUCAGUUGAACAAGCACCAGAGUCUCUGAUUUGGCAGUGUUGGAGCGAGAGGAACUGGCCUUAAAAAGUCAUGCGCCUCCAUGUGAAGAGACCACCAAACAGGCUUUGGCCAAUCGACUGAAGACGGAAUAGAACAAAAAGGCUGACCUCCCAGGAGUAACAGGGAGCUCCUACAGCCAAACAGCUUGAGUUGGAACACUUUUCCAGCCUUGGGCAACACUUUUCCAGCCUUGGGCUCAGACUGGGACUACACAUCAGUUUGCCUGCUUCUCCAGCUUGUCAACUGCAGAUCCUGAGACUUCUUAGCCUUCAUAAUUGUAUGGGCAAAUUCCUUAUAAUAAAUCUUUUAUACACACA
Long non-coding RNA from Cercocebus atys (sooty mangabey), 382 nucleotides. RefSeq lists it as uncharacterized. NCBI's taxonomy places the organism in Eukaryota, Metazoa, Chordata, Mammalia, Primates, Cercopithecidae. The transcript is spliced from 3 exons. The record is from RefSeq and is a predicted model, not a curated record.